RNAcentral lists this ribosomal RNA (372 nucleotides) under uncultured bacterium. RNAcentral's name for it is "bacterial SSU rRNA". It matches the Rfam family "Bacterial small subunit ribosomal RNA", at positions 524 to 898 of the family's 1533-position model. The record is from RNAcentral.
UACGGAGGAUCCGAGCGUUAUCCGGAUUUAUUGGGUUUAAAGGGUGCGCAGGCGGGAGAUUAAGUCGGCGGUGAAAUUUUGCAGCUCAACUGUAAAAGUGCCUUCGAAACUGGUAUCCUUGAGUGUGGAUGAAGUAGGCGGAAUUUGUGGUGUAGCGGUGAAAUGCAUAGAUAUCACGAGGAACUCCGAUUGCGCAGGCAGCUUACUAAGCCAUAACUGACGCUCAGGCACGAAGGCGUGGGGAUCAAACAGGAUUAGAUACCCUGGUAGUCCACGCAGUAAACGAUGAUUACUGGCUGUUUGCGAUAUACAGUAAGCGGCUGAGCGAAAGCGUUAAGUAAUCCACCUGGGGAGUACGUUCGCAAGAAUGAA